RNAcentral lists this ribosomal RNA (446 nucleotides) under uncultured bacterium. Its description in RNAcentral is "partial 16S ribosomal RNA". It matches the Rfam family "Bacterial small subunit ribosomal RNA", at positions 338 to 795 of the family's 1533-position model. The record is from RNAcentral.
CCUACGGGGGGCAGCAGUCGAGAAUCAUUCACAAUGGGGGAAACCCUGAUGGUGCGACGCCGCGUGGGGGAAUGAAGGUCUUCGGAUUGUAAACCCCUGUCAUGUGGGAGCAAAGUACAAUGAUAGUACCACAAUAGGAAGAGCCGGCUAACUCUGUGCCAGCAGCCGCGUUAAUACAGAGGUCUCAAGCGUUGUUCGGAAUCACUGGGCGUAAAGCGUGCGUAGGCUGUUUCGUAAGUCGUGUGUGAAAGGCGCGGGCUCAACCCGAGGACGGCACAUGAUACUGGGAGACUAGAGUAAUGUAGGGGGAAGCGGAAUUCUCGGUGUAGCAGUGAAAUGCGUAGAUAUCGAGAGGAACACUCGUGGCGAAGGCGGGUUGCUGGACAGUAACUGACGCUGAGGCACGAAGGCCAGGGGAGCGAAAGGGAUUAGAUACCCGAGUAGUC